UACAGAGGUCUCGAGCGUUGUUCGGAUUCAUUGGGCGUAAAGGGUGCGUAGGUGGCGCUGUAAGUCGGGUGUGAAAUCCUGAGGCUUAACCUCGGAACUGCAUUCGAUACUGCGGCGCUUGAGGACUGGAGAGGAGACUGGAAUUCAUGGUGUAGCAGUGAAAUGCGUAGAGAUCAUGAGGAAGACCAGUGGCGAAGGCGGCUUUCUGGUCUGUAACUGACGCUGAGGCGCGAAAGCGUGGGGAGCAAACAGG
This 253-nucleotide ribosomal RNA is filed under the name uncultured bacterium. RNAcentral's name for it is "partial 16S ribosomal RNA". It matches the Rfam family "Bacterial small subunit ribosomal RNA", at positions 524 to 776 of the family's 1533-position model. The record is from RNAcentral.